Molecule: long non-coding RNA, 705 nt
Filed under: Physcomitrium patens
Lineage: Eukaryota; Viridiplantae; Streptophyta; Bryopsida; Funariales; Funariaceae
Description: long non-coding RNA (PPAT_LNC005959)
Source: RNAcentral
UUAAGAAAUCUUUAAGAAAUAUUAAAAUAAUCACAAAUAUAGCUUAAAUAAAUUUCAAAGAAGUUCUAAUUUAAUCCUAAUUAAAAUCCUAAUAGACUUCAAUCAAAUCCUAGGCCAAAUUCUAAAUCCUAAACAAAUCUUAAAUCCUAAACUCUAAAAAAAUUCUAUAUCUUAAAUCCUAAAUCAAAUUCUAAAUCCUUCUCCAAUUCUAAACCCUAACUAAAUCCUAAUCAAAUCCUAAAUCCUAACCUAAUUGUAACUCUAAACCAAAUCCUAACCAAAAUCUAUCUAACUCAAUUUAAUCCUAGUAUAAUUUAAAACCUCAAUAUCCAUUUAUUAAACUAUUAAUCUUACUUAAAAUUUUAAAUAAUUUUCAAUAACUAAGUUGCCAAUAAGUAUACAAAAUUUGAAGAGAAUCAAACUUAUCAAAUAGAAGAAAAAUAUCAAAAUUUGCUUGAAUGUCAAUUGGCUUCUCUCUUCAAUCUUGAUGCUAGUCUUCUAGUGCCAAUACCUCCUAUUUACACUGUUCAAUUAUUCUCAAAAUUUAUAUAUCUAUAGAAAAUCAAGUAUUUUACCUUUAUACAUAAAUUUCACUCUAAAUCAAUUAAUAAAUUGUUGAAGAUCUUAGAAAUUCUAAUUGCCUUUCAAAGUCCAAUUUUCAAGACCUCAACCUACUUAAAAUUCAAUAAUCUUGAAUUCAACUAU